This 482-nucleotide ribosomal RNA is filed under the name uncultured bacterium. RNAcentral's name for it is "partial 16S ribosomal RNA". It matches the Rfam family "Bacterial small subunit ribosomal RNA", at positions 30 to 507 of the family's 1533-position model. The record is from RNAcentral.
AUUGAACGCUGGCGGCAUGCCUUACACAUGCAAGUCGAACGGUAACGGGCCUUCGGGUGCCGACGAGUGGCGAACGGGUGAGUAAUACAUCGGAACGUGCCCGAUCGUGGGGGAUAACGAGGCGAAAGCUUUGCUAAUACCGCAUACGAUCUACGGAUGAAAGCAGGGGACCGCAAGGCCUUGCGCGGACGGAGCGGCCGAUGGCAGAUUAGGUAGUUGGUGGGAUAAAAGCUUACCAAGCCGACGAUCUGUAGCUGGUCUGAGAGGAUGAUCAGCCACACUGGGACUGAGACACGGCCCAGACUCCUACGGGAGGCAGCAGUGGGGAAUUUUGGACAAUGGGCGCAAGCCUGAUCCAGCCAUGCCGCGUGCAGGAUGAAGGCCUUCUGGUUGUAAACUGCUUUUGUACGGAACGAAAAGCCUUCUUUUAAUACAGGAGGGUCAUGACGGUACCGUAAGAAUAAGCACCGGCUAACUACGUG